Molecule: long non-coding RNA, 1212 nt
Organism: Daphnia magna
Lineage: Eukaryota; Metazoa; Arthropoda; Branchiopoda; Diplostraca; Daphniidae
Exons: 2
Source: RefSeq, a predicted model, not a curated record
GAUCCAAUACCUGGCGUGGGUACUGUAGGUUAUAUGUGUAAUCUCCUUGUAAACAUGAUGUAUCUCCUUCCUUCUCUCCACAUGUACGUCUCGACCUCUAUUUCUGUCUCACUGCUGUCGCUGUACUCAGACUAUCAUACUCAGUGUCCAUAAUCUGUCUUGUUGUAGUUUUGGAGGGAUGUAGUGUUCUGGGCUGUCGCCAGGUGGCAGUCAAGGACUGAGAGGAGAGACCUGUGGUGUGUGUCGGGCUGGCGCAGUGAGGAACGAGGCCAAGGACAGUGAGGUUGUCUUACAUAGCUGUUGAAAUACACAGAAGUUCAUCCAGUAACAUCGUGGCUGAAGCUGAAUACGACGCUGCGGUUUUGGAUUCGGCCACUUCUUCGUAUUGAAUAUCAGCGACAUACCCAUUCUCAUCUGCCCUGUAAUUGACGACCUGGACACGACCAUCUGGGAGAGGGACACGAUAGUAACCGGUGGUCACCUUGCCGUGACGGCUUUCAGAUCGAGAGUUGCUGUUAUUGGAAGACCGGAAGCUGUAGACUGGUUUCUUGGCCUAAUUAAGAACGUUUGAAAUUAAUUAAUCAAAAUGAAAUCUUUUACUAGCUAAGAACCAGAUCGUUGGAUAAACAUGUAACUCACAUCUUCUCUUUUUUUAUAUACUGAAAUUUGAUCGGCACUUCCAGCUGACGUGGUGAUUAGCAAUAGGAAGCAAAUCCAACACUGCAAUUGUUUCUGCAAAAAUGAUGACAUUAAUUUGUGGACGAACAUCCAUCAUUAAAGCAUGAAUUGUGUCGGAAUUUUUUACCUUCAUAUCAAGAGUUUGUCACAGGUCUCUGAAAGUUAAAACACUGAUAUUAAUGAUUGUGUUCUUGGAGCUUUUAUAGACUGCCGAACUAUGAAAUCCGCAGCAUGCGGGCAAGCUCUCCAACAAGUGACGCUGAUGGGGAACGUACGCGACUAAAGAAAAUCGGAAUGAUGGACUACAACUGAAAAAAGUGAAAGGCAAAUUCAUGCAGAUCAACGUGUAAACCUCGAAAAGGGACGCUUGAAAGUUUCUUCUGCUGAUAUUUGCAAAAUAUUUGACUCCCUCAAAUGUUGGGUUUAAAAAAAGGGGGGAGGGGAUUGCCUCUGGCAAGGAAUACUUGCAUCCGACCAUGUACUGACGGUUACUUUCCAUUCACUAAGACAAUAUAUAUGACAUUGAAAAUGCAA